Molecule: ribosomal RNA, 467 nt
Filed under: uncultured bacterium
Lineage: Bacteria
Description: partial 16S ribosomal RNA
Rfam family: Bacterial small subunit ribosomal RNA
Source: RNAcentral
GACGAACGCUGGCGGCGUGCUUAACACAUGCCAGUCGAACGGAAAGGCCUCUUUCGGGGGGUACUCGAGUGGCGAACGGGUGAGUAACACGUGAGUAACCUGCCCUUGACUUUGGGAUAACUUCAGGAAACUGGGGCUAAUACCGGAUAGGAGCUCCUGCUGCAUGGUGGGGGUUGGAAAGUUUCGGCGGUUGGGGAUGGACUCGCGGCUUAUCAGCUUGUUGGUGGGGUAGUGGCUUACCAAGGCUUUGACGGGUAGCCGGCCUGAGAGGGUGACCGGCCACAUUGGGACUGAGAAACGGCCCAGACUACUACGGGGGGCAGCAGUGGGGAAGAUUGCACAAUGGGUGGAAGCCUGAUGCAGCAACGCCGUGUGCGGGAUGACGGCCUUCGGGUUGGAAACCGCUUUCGCUCAUGACGAAGCUUUGUGUGACGGUAGUGGGUAAAGAAGCACCGGCUAACUACGUG